RNAcentral lists this ribosomal RNA (461 nucleotides) under uncultured beta proteobacterium. Its description in RNAcentral is "bacterial SSU rRNA". It matches the Rfam family "Bacterial small subunit ribosomal RNA", at positions 200 to 642 of the family's 1533-position model. Lineage: Bacteria; Pseudomonadati; Pseudomonadota; Betaproteobacteria. The record is from RNAcentral.
AGAAAAGCAGGGGAUCGCAAGACCUUGCGCUUUUGGAGCGGCCGAUGUCUGAUUAGCUAGUUGGUGAGGUAAAGGCUUACCAAGGCUUCGAUCAGUAGCUGGUCUGAGAGGACGACCAGCCACACUGGGACUGAGACACGGCCCAGACUCCUACGGGAGGCAGCAGUGGGGGAUUUUGGACAAUGGGGGAAACCCUGAUCCAGCCAUGCCGCGUGAGUGAAGAAGGCCUUCGGGUUGUAAAGCUCUUUCAGCCGGAACGAAAAGGUUACGGUUAAUACCCGUGACUAAUGACGGUACCGGAAGAAGAAGCACCGGCUAACUACGUGCCAGCAGCCGCGGUAAUACGUAGGGUGCGAGCGUUAAUCGGAAUUACUGGGCGUAAAGCGUGCGCAGGCGGUUUUGUAAGUCAGAUGUGAAAUCCCCGGGCUCAACCUGGGAACUGCGUUUGAAACUACAAGGCU